CUUUCGGAAGUGUUGGGGAUAUUUUACGCUUUGUUAUGGAAAUUUACAAUUCUUCUUAAGGAAAUUCAGGUAGCUGGUAAACCCUUGGAAAUGGAAUUUUUCCUGGCUUUUCUGCUUAAAGUGAUCUGAAAUGUGUCUCAUGUCUUAUCAAAUCCUCGAAUGCCUGAGUGCAUAUUUUCUAAUAAAGACAAUCUGUCAAGCGUCUGCGUAACUAUCGAGGAAAGCCGAAUUCCUCGAAGAACAAUUGCAUCACCGAUUGCAGUAUUUUCAAGAAGUAUUAUUAAAACCUUUCCUGGAAAGAAGUGCCACAUCCGUAAUCCAGUGACACAUAGGAAAACAAUUUUGGCUCAAACUACUUA
Molecule: long non-coding RNA, 359 nt
Organism: Anastrepha ludens (Mexican fruit fly)
Lineage: Eukaryota; Metazoa; Arthropoda; Insecta; Diptera; Tephritidae
Exons: 3
Source: RefSeq, a predicted model, not a curated record